Molecule: transfer RNA, 83 nt
Filed under: Trichobilharzia szidati
Lineage: Eukaryota; Metazoa; Platyhelminthes; Trematoda; Strigeidida; Schistosomatidae
Description: tRNA-Thr
Source: RNAcentral
UGACAAUAUAGUUUAGAUUUUUUAAAUAAUGCUUUUGUAAAGCAUAGAUGGAACUAUGAAAUAUGGGGUGUUCCUGUUGUCAU